Molecule: ribosomal RNA, 418 nt
Filed under: uncultured bacterium
Lineage: Bacteria
Description: bacterial SSU rRNA
Rfam family: Bacterial small subunit ribosomal RNA
Source: RNAcentral
UCGAGAAUAUUCCACAAUGGGCGCAAGCCUGAUGGAGCGACGCCGCGUGGAGGAUGAAGGCCUUAGGGUUGUAAACUCCUUUUCCACGGGAAGAAGGUGCGAUGAGCACAUUGACGGUACCGUGGGAAUAAGUGGCUGCAAACUUCGUGCCAGCAGCCGCGGUAAUACGAAGGCCACAAGCGUUAUCCGGAUUUAUUGGGCGUAAAGGGCGCGUAGGUGGUUUCGUGCGUUUUCUGUUAAAUCUCACUGCUUAACGGUGAGGCCGCAGAGAAUACGACGAGACUAGAGGGUGUUAGAGGCAUAUGGAACGCACGGUGUAGGGGUGAAAUCCGUUGAUAUCGUGCGGAACACCAAAGGCGAAGGCAAUAUGCUGGGACAUUCCUGACACUGAGGCGCGAAAGCGUGGGGAGCAAAAAGG